Molecule: long non-coding RNA, 660 nt
Filed under: Populus trichocarpa (black cottonwood)
Lineage: Eukaryota; Viridiplantae; Streptophyta; Magnoliopsida; Malpighiales; Salicaceae
Description: long non-coding RNA (PTRI_LNC001776)
Source: RNAcentral
GGCAGACAUACGGAUUUUUUCUUCUGCUGCUGGCUCUGAACUGUCUACCCCAGACAAGUUACAUUCAACCCUCUGGCCUUUAUGCUGCCAGCAUCUUUUGUUUCCCAGAAUGGGUUGCCUUCUGCAGAAUGAACCAUUUCCCAACAUUACUCCACAAGUAUUGGGAAAAUGUUCCUUGACAGGAUUAUUUGAAGAUCCACAUUGCCAGGUACUAUCUGCAUUAUGUUUAGAUGAGGCAUUGUUGUUUACGCUGUCAGCAAAAGAAUUGAAUACCGAACUGGGGGCAGACAUACGGAUUUUUUCUUCUGCUGCUGGCUCUGAACUGUCUACCCCAGACAAGUUACAUUCAACCCUCUGGCCUUUAUGCUGCCAGCAUCUUUUGUUUCCCAGAAUGGGUUGCCUUCUGCAGAAUGAACCAUUUCCCAACAUUACUCCACAAGUAUUGGGAAAAUGUUCCUUGACAGGAUUAUUUGAAGAUCCACAUUGCCAGGUACUAUCUGCAUUAUGUUUAGAUGAGGCAUUGUUGUUUACGCCGUCAGCAAAAGAAUUGAAUACCGAACUGGGGGCAGACAUACGGAUUUUGUCUUCUGCUGCUGGCUCUAAGACGGAGGUGUUAACCCGCAUCCCCUUGUGCUCUUCACAUCUUUUCCUCCCUGCCAC